This 463-nucleotide ribosomal RNA is filed under the name uncultured bacterium. RNAcentral describes it as "partial 16S ribosomal RNA". It matches the Rfam family "Bacterial small subunit ribosomal RNA", at positions 28 to 507 of the family's 1533-position model. The record is from RNAcentral.
GAUGAACGCUGACAGAAUGCUUAACACAUGCAAGUCGAUGGGGAAGUGGUGCUUGCACCAUGGUAACCAUGGCGGACGGGUGAGUAACGCGUAAGGAACUUGCCUGCGGGACUGGGAUAACAGCAGGAAACUGCUGAUAAUACCGGAUAAGGUCAUUAAGCUGCAUAGCUUAGUGAUGAAAGGAGACGCCUGCGGAGAGCCUUGCGUCCUAUUAGCUAGUUGGAGGGGUAACGGCCCACCAAGGCGAAGAUAGGUAGCCGGCCUGAGAGGGUGGACGGCCACAAGGGGACUGAGAUACGGCCCUUACUCCUACGGGAGGCAGCAGUGGGGAAUAUUGGACAAUGGGGGCAACCCUGAUCCAGCAAUUCCGUGUGCACGAAGACGGUUUUCGGAUUGUAAAGUGCUUUCAGCAGGGAAGAAGGAAGUGACGGUACCUGCAGAAGAAGCGACGGCUAAAUACGUG